Molecule: ribosomal RNA, 465 nt
Filed under: Vreelandella stevensii
Lineage: Bacteria; Pseudomonadati; Pseudomonadota; Gammaproteobacteria; Oceanospirillales; Halomonadaceae
Description: partial 16S ribosomal RNA
Rfam family: Bacterial small subunit ribosomal RNA
Source: RNAcentral
CUUACGGGUGGCUGCAGUGGGGAAUAUUGGACAAUGGGGGGAACCCUGAUCCAGCCAUGCCGCGUGUGUGAAGAAGGCCCUCGGGUUGUAAAGCACUUUCAGUGAGGAAGAACGCCUGGUGGUUAAUACCCAUCAGGAAAGACAUCACUCACAGAAGAAGCACCGGCUAACUCCGUGCCAGCAGCCGCGGUAAUACGGAGGGUGCGAGCGUUAAUCGGAAUUACUGGGCGUAAAGCGCGCGUAGGUGGCUUGAUAAGCCGGUUGUGAAAGCCCCGGGCUCAACCUGGGAACGGCAUCCGGAACUGUCAAGCUAGAGUGCAGGAGAGGAAGGUAGAAUUCCCGGUGUAGCGGUGAAAUGCGUAGAGAUCGGGAGGAAUACCAGUGGCGAAGGCGGCCUUCUGGACUGACACUGACACUGAGGUGCGAAAGCGUGGGUAGCAAACAGGAUUAGAUACCCGAGUAGUC